RNAcentral lists this ribosomal RNA (240 nucleotides) under uncultured bacterium. RNAcentral describes it as "partial 16S ribosomal RNA". It matches the Rfam family "Bacterial small subunit ribosomal RNA", at positions 15 to 236 of the family's 1533-position model. The record is from RNAcentral.
GAUCCUGGCUCAGGAUGAACGCUGGCGGCGUGCUUAACACAUGCAAGUCGAACGAAGCACUUUAACCUGAUUCUUCGGAUGAAGGUUUUUGUGACUGAGUGGCGGACGGGUGAGUAACGCGUGGGUAACCUGCCUCAUACAGGGGGGAUAACAGUUAGAAAUGACUGCUAAUACCGCAUAAGACCACGGAGCCGCAUAGCUCAGUGGGAAAAACUCCGGUGGUAUGAGAUGGACCCGCGU